CCCGACCGGGUCCUCCCACCCGGGGUACACGCAUGCUCUUAAUUGCGCGUGCGGGUAACUGCGGGUUUGUUACCCUGAGAAAACUAGAGUGCUCAACGCAGGCCUUUGCUCGAAUAUCUUAGCAUGGAAUAACGGAAUAGGACGAUGUGGCUAUUUCGCUGGUUUUCAUGGCCACCGUAAUGAUUAAAAGGGACGGUUGGGGGCGUUAGUAUUCGGCAGUAAGAGGUGAAAUUCUUAGACCUGCUGAAGACUCUCUGCUGCGAAGGCGUUCGCCAAGGACGUUUUCAUUAAUCAGUGAACGAAAGUUGGGGGAUCAAAGACGAUCAGAUACCGUCGUAGUCCCAACCGUAAACGAUGGCGACUAGGGGUCGGGCGGGUUGGUUUAAAAUUUAUCCCGCUCGGAACCUUACGAGAAAUCAAAGUUUUUGGCUUCUGGGGGAAGUACGGUCGCAAGGCUGAAACUUAAAGAAAUUGACGGAAUGACACCACAAGGCGUGGAGCCUGCGGCUUAAUUUGACUCAACACGGGAAACCUUACCAGGGCAAGACACAAGCAGGAUGGACGGAUUAAAAUUUUCUUCCAGAUUUUGUGGUUGGUGGUGCAUGGCCGUUUCCAGUUCGUGGCUUGAGCUGUCUGCUUGAUUGCGUUAACGAACGAGACCUUCACCUAUUUAAUAGUGCCGUCAGCAUUCGGUUGGCCGUUGCACUACUUAGAGGGACAACCGGUCGGAAGCCGGGGGAGGAUGGAGGCGAAAACAGGU
This 760-nucleotide ribosomal RNA is filed under the name Raciborskiella talaumae. RNAcentral describes it as "SSU rRNA". It matches the Rfam family "Eukaryotic small subunit ribosomal RNA", at positions 683 to 1461 of the family's 1831-position model. The record is from RNAcentral. Lineage: Eukaryota; Fungi; Ascomycota; Dothideomycetes; Strigulales; Strigulaceae.